CGAGGAACGUUCUGACACCGAGAUCAAGAAGGAAGCUUGAAAGAAUCCUCAGCGACCGGAAGCCCAUAAGCUGACACUUAACAAAACAAGCAGCAGCAGGAAGCUUCGUUCGUCAACCCGCCAAAGAUUGUCGUUCAGCGGCCCACCAUCGACCUGUACGCCGAGGUCAAGGAACGUCUCAUGUUGCGUCGCGAGAAGGACCUGUGAAGGAGAGAUGGAACGCAAGCAGGCCGCGGCCGGGAAUCUGCAGGAGCUGGAGCAGAAGCUGAAGAACAAGAGGAUGAAGACGGAGGACAGGGGUCUUCACUGGUCAAAGACGUUCAGCGAAUCGAGCGAGGGAAAGAGCCGUAGCGGUCAAGGUGGCGAUUAGAAUGACUACAGAUCAACGGUACGAAAGGCACGAUUGGUACGGUGGAGAAUGUGAUGGACCUCUUCGGCUGCUGUCGAAGCAUUGGGAGGACGACAUCCAGAAAUUCUCACCCAGCCGUAUUCCGGAAUUGCCACGCGUGACGGCUAUGUCCUGACAAGUGCCCUCGGAACGACAAGUGCCCUCGGAACGACAAGUGCCCUCGGAAAAGAUUCGAAGGACGGGCACGGCCCUGCAAGUGCACACCUAACGACCCUAACGACGGUUGUAAUGCUGCACGAACGAAUCAGACAAGUUUGUCAACUUUAUAACCCGUGUCCAUCCCGUCCUUUAGUGCAUUUACUCAAUGGACCGGUCUCUCGCCGAUUCUCGUUAAUUCUCCCCCAGGAAGUGCGCCAGGUUAACCCCACGACUGCAGCUGCCACAGGUGACCUGGGCCUCCUGGGAAAAUCGAACGCCGCCGCUCAAUUCCGCCACCGCCACCAAGAAACCCUUCGAAUGGUCAAUCCAGUGAAGGUGAAUUUAGCACUGACCAACAAAAUCAAAUGUCAAUCGCUGAAUCGGCUGAUACACUUGGGGACAAAGUCAGAAAACAAGGACCAGAUCCUGCUUCCCGGUUUAUACCAUGAUCAACGUUAGCCAGAACUGUCGUUAGGAGGACUACAGGGCGGUCAGUUUACCUCCUUGGACGGAUUUUAAUUCCCGGGAGUUUAUCAUUCAGUUCCAGAAUCAAACAACGGCCUCGCAGCUAGAACACCUUGGAGGUCAACCAAUGCCCUGUAAGGACAGCUCAAAAAACCUGCUUGAUCUCAGCCUGCUUCACUACGAGGGGAGCAAUGGGGCCACGACCGAGAACCGAGGGGUGCGCAGCGCUGCCCACCGGACAGAAAGGAACUGGCCCCGCGAGCAGCAAAAAGCAAAUCA
Long non-coding RNA from Culex quinquefasciatus (southern house mosquito), 1291 nucleotides. RefSeq lists it as uncharacterized. The transcript has 2 exons. The record is from RefSeq and is a predicted model, not a curated record. Lineage: Eukaryota; Metazoa; Arthropoda; Insecta; Diptera; Culicidae.